ACNCCGCGUGCGGGGAUGACGGCCUUUCGGGGUUGUAAACCGGCUUUCGNCCUGUGACGAAGCGUGAGUGACGGUAAUGGGGUAAAGAAGCACCGGCUAACUACGUGCNCAGCAGCCGCGGUGAUACGUAGGUGCGAGCGUUGUCCGGAUUUAUUGGGCGUAAAGGGCUCGUAGGUGGUUGAUCGCGUCGGAAGUGUAAUCUUGGGGCUUAACCCUGAGCGUGCUUUCGAUACGGGUUGACUUGAGGAAGGUAGGGGAGAAUGGAAUUCCUGGUGGAGCGGUGGAAUGCGCAGAUAUCAGGAGGAACACCAGUGGCGAAGGCGGUUCUCUGGGCCUUUCCUGACGCUGAGGAGCGAAAGCGUGGGGAGCGAACAGGCUUAGAUACCCUGGUAGUCCACGCUGUAAACGGUGGGUACUAGGUGUGGGGUCCAUUCCACGGGUUCCGUGCCGUAGCUAACGCUUUAAGUACCCCGCCUGGGGAGUACGGCCGCAAGGCUAAAACUCAAAGGAAUUGACGGGAAUC
Molecule: ribosomal RNA, 523 nt
Filed under: uncultured bacterium
Lineage: Bacteria
Description: bacterial SSU rRNA
Rfam family: Bacterial small subunit ribosomal RNA
Source: RNAcentral